UGGCACUUUGGACAUGGCCCUGGUGG
RNAcentral lists this non-coding RNA (26 nucleotides) under Mus musculus (house mouse). The record is from RNAcentral. Lineage: Eukaryota; Metazoa; Chordata; Mammalia; Rodentia; Muridae.